GCCCCACCAGUGCAGCAGGGAUGGCCCCCCACCCCAUGGUGCCCCCCCACCCAGCACCCCUGGCUUGCUGCACCAACUCCCAGGUCAGCACUGGGCCUGCAUAUGGCAUGGGGGAUAGCGACAUGCCCACACUAGAUUUUGAGGAGGGGGAGCUCCCACAUGAGGAGCCGGGGGAGACAUUCUCCAUCACAGGCAGCCUGUCCCCGGAUCACUUCUUUUCCACACAGCCACCCCCUUCCCCCCCCCCUCUUUCCCCACCCGAAUCUGCCAGCUACGAGCCUUCCACCCACCAUGCAAACCAUGAAUCCUCGGCCCGGAGGCACUCCAUUUGCCCCCGGCAAGUUUGGGGUGCACAGGCAUCAAGGGCUACCCAGGGUACGGAGGCACGGCAGCGCCACCGUGCUGCUGGUGCCGCCAUCGGGGUGCCAGACAGCCUCCAACCGUCCACCACCCAAAUCAGGAGCACAGGCGUUCGGAGGGCAGCCUCCACACGAUCUACCUCACCAGGGGUACCCUGCCUGUACAGCAGUCCUACACCCACUGGCACUACCUACCACCACAGCAGACCCAGGCUACGCGACACAUCUGGGCAUCGCCCGAGAUUUCAGCCGGUAGCGGUACCUGCAACCUCCCCUCCAGUCGAUCACGACAUACCCACGCAGGACCGGAGUCCAACAGGUGAGCUUUCAUGCAUCAGGGCAUGGGGCCAACAGGCCCAUGGUAGCACAGAAAUCUUGGCAGCCUUGCAUGCCAUUAUGGAUAAGAUAGGCCCCUCCAAUUCAGGUACAAACAUUUCCCCUCCUUGUCCACUGAAGGAUACUUACUUCUGUGGCAUAUCCCCCCUGGGCUGCCAUCUGUCCGGGGAAAUUAGAGAAAAAAUUUGGCGAAACGAAUACAUAGACAUUUGGUCCCUCAUCUCGCUAGAGCAGCCUACAGUGGACAAGGAAAGGAGGUUUGACAGGGCGGAUGACAAGAAGCCAAAGGUUGCCAAGACAUUUGGCAACUGGCUUCAGGCAUUUUCUGUCCUCGCAUGCGUCAUAGGCCAAAAAUACCCGUCCAAAUGUUCCGAGCUUUUUGUCUAUUUAGAUUCCAUUUACGGCGCCUACAGGACGCACGGGGGCGCCUCAUGGUGGCGCUACGAUGAGGAAUUUAGGCGCAGGAUGGCUCUAAAGCCGGAAUUGGGAUGGGAUAUGAAAGCCACCGAUGCAUGGCUCAGAAUCAUGAUGACCCCUAAGCCGCCCUUUCAGUACGGUGCCGCUGCGCCCUCCAACACCGGGUCCCAGGGCACAGCGGCCACAAGACGCCCCGGAGUCUGCUGGCUCUUUAACGAAGGGCACUGCAGAUUUUUCGGUACGUGUAAAUUCAAGCACGAAUGUAACUUUUGCGGCGGGGCCCAUUCGGCCCUGCGAUGCUUCAAAAAAACCAGGGUACCACCAAAAGCUACAACAAGCGUUCGCGGCGAAGACGCCGGUGAACGUACAAAGGAUGUCACCAUGGCUAGACCUAUACCACAGGAAGGGGGAAGCCGCAUUAAUUAGGGAUGGUUUUACAUACGGCUUCUUUAUCCCCUUCACACCAAAUUCCCAACCAACUUUUGCAGACAACCUAAAAUCGGUACCAGACAACAAGGAAGUAGUGGCAACCAAACUGAGGAACGAAGUGGCACUGGGCCGCAUGGCCGGCCCUUUCGCUUCCUUGCCUUUCCCAAACCUACGAGUUUCCCCCUUGGGUGUCGUUCCAAAGAAAGAGCCGGGAAAAUUCAGGCUCAUCCACCACCUAUCUCACCCAAGGGGAAAAUCAGUGAAUGAUGGGAUUAGCAAGGAAGCCGCAGCAGUCUCAUAUGUGUCCUUUGAUCGGGCGGUAUCCCUGGUACGCCAGGCAGGGAGGGGAGCGUUGUUAGCGAAGUCGGACAUCGAGUCCGCCUUCCGCCUGCUCCCGGUCCACAGCGACUGCUACCACCUAUUGGGCUGCCAGUUCGAAGGCCAGUUCUAUUUUGACAUGUGCCUUCCCAUGGGCUGCUCAAUAUCGUGUCGCUACUUCGAAUGUUUUAGCACUUUUCUCGAAUGGGUAGUCAGACACGAAACCGGAAUUAACUCCGUCAUUCAUUACUUGGAUGAUUUCCUGUUCGUAGGCCCCCAAGCCACAAACGUGUGCCAGCUACUGCUGAGCACAUUCCAAUUUUUUAUGUCAAAAUUUGGAGUUCCCCUGUCGAAAGAAAAAACGGAGGGACCAACCACCGUUUUGUCUUUUCUGGGCAUCGAAGUUGAUACGACAGCCCUAGUUUUCCGCCUCCCGGAAGACAAGCUGCAAAGACUAAAAGGUACAGUAGCCGAAAUGCUAGCAGCUAAGAAGGCGACGCUGCGCAACAUGCAGUCAUUACUGGGCCUGUUGGUCUUUGCUUGCCGCAUAAUGCCAAUAGCACGGGUUUUCUCGCGCAGGCUAUCCCUAGCCACGCGAGGCAUUAAGCAACCCCAUCAUUUCAUUAGGAUCACCAAACAAUUGAGGGAAGACCUGAGGGUCUGGCAAACAUUCUUAGAGCACUACAAUGGGCACACCUGCCUCAUGGACACUGAAGUGUCCAAUGAGGAGCUGAGCUUGUUCACGGACGCGGCCGGCUCCACUGGGUUCGGAGCCAUUCUCGCCCAGAGCUGGUGCGCAGAGCAAUGGCCCGACAGCUGGGCCUCGGUUGGGCUAUGCAAAAACUGACCCUGCUGGAGCUGUUCCCCAUAGUGGUGGCGGUUCAGAUAUGGGGACAGAGAAUAUCAGGGAAAAAGAUAUGUUUUUGGACAGACAACAUGAGCGUGGUAUUUGCAAUAAACAGAUUAACUUCCUCUUCCCUACCAGUGCUUGCCCUGCUGAGACAUUUAGUCUUGCGCUGCCUUGAUUUUAACAUAUGGUUCCGGGCACGACAUGUGCCGGGGCGCGCUAAUACUGCCGCUGAUGCCCUGUCUCGUUUUCAGUGGCGGACCUUCAGGGAGCUGGUGCCAGCAGCGGAACAGGAGGGGACAGAAUGCCCAGUAUUCCUAUGGCGCUUGGUGGAGGACAACUGCUGAGCAUGGUCAGGUCCUCGGUAACCCCAGCUACGUGGCAAGCAUACGGUAACGCAUGGAGUUCCACUACGCCAGUAGUUCUGCUGGUUGGGCACUCCUACCUCCGUCGGGCGGAGAGACGAGCGGCAAUUCGUCCGGGCGGCAGGAACCUCGGUUUCCAUGGGGUUGACAUGGUAUGGAAGGGAAUUAGCGGCCUGCGGUGGUUACAAGUUUUACCAGAAGUGUUCUCCUUCAGUAGAAUUUACAACGGCCCGAUAGUAUUAGUCGUGCAUGCGGGUGGCAAUGACCUCGGCACGGUCAAGGUAGCAGAACUCAUAACCCUAAUUAAGUCUGAUCUAGAACGCUGCGCCUCGCUGUUCACCAAGGUUGUUAUCGUAUGGUCCGAAAUUGUCCCUAGGCUGGUCUGGAGGGGGGCUAGGAAGUUUGCUGCGAUUGAUCAGGCACGCAAGCUCCUGAAUGCGAGGAUCUCCCGUUUUGUCAGAAGUAAAGGGUGGGUAGCAUGGCGGCACUGCCACCUGGAGGGUGAUACGUACAGAUUUUUGACCCAGGACGGUGUACACCUUAACGACAUAGGGCAUGAUAUUUUCCUGUCCGGUUUACAGGAUGGCAUUGAGCGGGCACUAGGGCUUUUAGUGGGUGGGGGUCGGAGUUCAAGUAGGGAUACAUGAACUCCUCCUGGCGGGGGACAGUCCUUGGCCAUUUAUUUUCUGGUGGUGUUUUGAGGGUUUUUCACAUGCCCACUGCUUUGCAGUGGCCGGCAUUCGUUUGAAACAGUUAAAUAAAAAAAAAAAA
RNA transcript from Xenopus tropicalis (tropical clawed frog), 3842 nucleotides. RefSeq lists it as uncharacterized. NCBI's taxonomy places the organism in Eukaryota, Metazoa, Chordata, Amphibia, Anura, Pipidae. The record is from RefSeq and is a predicted model, not a curated record. The transcript is spliced from 2 exons.